This 461-nucleotide ribosomal RNA is filed under the name uncultured bacterium. RNAcentral's name for it is "SSU rRNA". It matches the Rfam family "Bacterial small subunit ribosomal RNA", at positions 26 to 518 of the family's 1533-position model. The record is from RNAcentral.
AGAAUCAACGCUGGCGGCGUGCCUAACGACAUGCAAGUCGCACGAGAAAGGGGAGCAAUCCCUGAGUAAAGUGGCGCACGGGUGAGUAACACGUGAAUCAUCUACCCUCGGGUGGGGAAUAACCUGGAGAAAUCCGGGCUAAUACCGCAUAACACUUACGAGUCAAAGCAGAAAUGCGCCUGGGGAGGAGUUCGCGGCCGAUUAGCUAGUUGGCGGGGUAAUGGCCCACCAAGGCGAUGAUCGGUAUCCGGCCUGAGAGGGCGCACGGACACACUGGAACUGAAACACGGUCCAGACUCCUACGGGAGGCAGCAGUGGGGAAUUUUGCGCAAUGGGGGAAACCCUGACGCAGCAACGCCGCGUGGAGGAUGAAGUAUCUUGGUACGUAAACUCCUUUCGAUGGGGAAGAUAAUGACGGUACCCAUAGAAGAAGCCCCGGCUAACUUCGUGCCAGCAGCCGC